RNAcentral lists this ribosomal RNA (2902 nucleotides) under Escherichia coli. RNAcentral's name for it is "bacterial LSU rRNA". It matches the Rfam family "Bacterial large subunit ribosomal RNA". Lineage: Bacteria; Pseudomonadati; Pseudomonadota; Gammaproteobacteria; Enterobacterales; Enterobacteriaceae. The record is from RNAcentral.
UUAAGCGACUAAGCGUACACGGUGGAUGCCCUGGCAGUCAGAGGCGAUGAAGGACGUGCUAAUCUGCGAUAAGCGUCGGUAAGGUGAUAUGAACCGUUAUAACCGGCGAUUUCCGAAUGGGGAAACCCAGUGUGUUUCGACACACUAUCAUUAACUGAAUCCAUAGGUUAAUGAGGCGAACCGGGGGAACUGAAACAUCUAAGUACCCCGAGGAAAAGAAAUCAACCGAGAUUCCCCCAGUAGCGGCGAGCGAACGGGGAGCAGCCCAGAGCCUGAAUCAGUGUGUGUGUUAGUGGAAGCGUCUGGAAAGGCGUGCGAUACAGGGUGACAGCCCCGUACACAAAAAUGCACAUGCUGUGAGCUCGAUGAGUAGGGCGGGACACGUGGUAUCCUGUCUGAAUAUGGGGGGACCAUCCUCCAAGGCUAAAUACUCCUGACUGACCGAUAGUGAACCAGUACCGUGAGGGAAAGGCGAAAAGAACCCCGGCGAGGGGAGUGAAAAAGAACCUGAAACCGUGUACGUACAAGCAGUGGGAGCACGCUUAGGCGUGUGACUGCGUACCUUUUGUAUAAUGGGUCAGCGACUUAUAUUCUGUAGCAAGGUUAACCGAAUAGGGGAGCCGAAGGGAAACCGAGUCUUAACUGGGCGUUAAGUUGCAGGAUAUAGACCCGAAACCCGGUGAUCUAGCCAUGGGCAGGUUGAAGGUUGGGUAACACUAACUGGAGGACCGAACCGACUAAUGUUGAAAAAUUAGCGGAUGACUUGUGGCUGGGGGUGAAAGGCCAAUCAAACCGGGAGAUAGCUGGUUCUCCCCGAAAGCUAUUUAGGUAGCGCCUCGUGAAUUCAUCUCCGGGGGUAGAGCACUGUUUCGGCAAGGGGGUCAUCCCGACUUACCAACCCGAUGCAAACUGCGAAUACCGGAGAAUGUUAUCACGGGAGACACACGGCGGGUGCUAACGUCCGUCGUGAAGAGGGAAACAACCCAGACCGCCAGCUAAGGUCCCAAAGUCAUGGUUAAGUGGGAAACGAUGUGGGAAGGCCCAGACAGCCAGGAUGUUGGCUUAGAAGCAGCCAUCAUUUAAAGAAAGCGUAAUAGCUCACUGGUCGAGUCGGCCUGCGCGGAAGAUGUAACGGGGCUAAACCAUGCACCGAAGCUGCGGCAGCGACACUAUGUGUUGUUGGGUAGGGGAGCGUUCUGUAAGCCUGUGAAGGUGUGCUGUGAGGCAUGCUGGAGGUAUCAGAAGUGCGAAUGCUGACAUAAGUAACGAUAAAGCGGGUGAAAAGCCCGCUCGCCGGAAGACCAAGGGUUCCUGUCCAACGUUAAUCGGGGCAGGGUGAGUCGACCCCUAAGGCGAGGCCGAAAGGCGUAGUCGAUGGGAAACAGGUUAAUAUUCCUGUACUUGGUGUUACUGCGAAGGGGGACGGAGAAGGCUAUGUUGGCCGGGCGACGGUUGUCCCGGUUUAAGCGUGUAGGCUGGUUUUCCAGGCAAAUCCGGAAAAUCAAGGCUGAGGCGUGAUGACGAGGCACUACGGUGCUGAAGCAACCAAAUGCCCUGCUUCCAGGAAAAGCCUCUAAGCAUCAGGUAACAUCAAAUCGUACCCCAAACCGACACAGGUGGUCAGGUAGAGAAUACCAAGGCGCUUGAGAGAACUCGGGUGAAGGAACUAGGCAAAAUGGUGCCGUAACUUCGGGAGAAGGCACGCUGAUAUGUAGGUGAAGCGACUUGCUCGUGGAGCUGAAAUCAGUCGAAGAUACCAGCUGGCUGCAACUGUUUAUUAAAAACACAGCACUGUGCAAACACGAAAGUGGACGUAUACGGUGUGACGCCUGCCCGGUGCCGGAAGGUUAAUUGAUGGGGUUAGCCGCAAGGCGAAGCUCUUGAUCGAAGCCCCGGUAAACGGCGGCCGUAACUAUAACGGUCCUAAGGUAGCGAAAUUCCUUGUCGGGUAAGUUCCGACCUGCACGAAUGGCGUAAUGAUGGCCAGGCUGUCUCCACCCGAGACUCAGUGAAAUUGAACUCGCUGUGAAGAUGCAGUGUACCCGCGGCAAGACGGAAAGACCCCGUGAACCUUUACUAUAGCUUGACACUGAACAUUGAGCCUUGAUGUGUAGGAUAGGUGGGAGGCUUUGAAGUGUGGACGCCAGUCUGCAUGGAGCCGACCUUGAAAUACCACCCUUUAAUGUUUGAUGUUCUAACGUUGACCCGUAAUCCGGGUUGCGGACAGUGUCUGGUGGGUAGUUUGACUGGGGCGGUCUCCUCCUAAAGAGUAACGGAGGAGCACGAAGGUUGGCUAAUCCUGGUCGGACAUCAGGAGGUUAGUGCAAUGGCAUAAGCCAGCUUGACUGCGAGCGUGACGGCGCGAGCAGGUGCGAAAGCAGGUCAUAGUGAUCCGGUGGUUCUGAAUGGAAGGGCCAUCGCUCAACGGAUAAAAGGUACUCCGGGAUAACAGGCUGAUACCGCCCAAGAGUUCAUAUCGACGGCGGUGUUUGGCACCUCGAUGUCGGCUCAUCACAUCCUGGGGCUGAAGUAGGUCCCAAGGGUAUGGCUGUUCGCCAUUUAAAGUGGUACGCGAGCUGGGUUUAGAACGUCGUGAGACAGUUCGGUCCCUAUCUGCCGUGGGCGCUGGAGAACUGAGGGGGGCUGCUCCUAGUACGAGAGGACCGGAGUGGACGCAUCACUGGUGUUCGGGUUGUCAUGCCAAUGGCACUGCCCGGUAGCUAAAUGCGGAAGAGAUAAGUGCUGAAAGCAUCUAAGCACGAAACUUGCCCCGAGAUGAGUUCUCCCUGACUCCUUGAGAGUCCUGAAGGAACGUUGAAGACGACGACGUUGAUAGGCCGGGUGUGUAAGCGCAGCGAUGCGUUGAGCUAACCGGUACUAAUGAACCGUGAGGCUUAACCUU